AGUGAACGCUGGCGGUAGGCCUAACACAUGCAAGUCGAACGGCAGCACAGUAAGAGCUUGCUCUUACGGGUGGCGAGUGGCGGACGGGUGAGGAAUACAUCGGAAUCUACUUUUUCGUGGGGGCUAACGUAGGGAAACUUACGCUACUACCGCAUACGACCUACGGGUGAAAGCAGGGGAUCUUCGGACCUUGCGCGAUUGAAUGAGGCGAUGUCGGAUUAGCUAGUUGGCGGGGUAAAGGCCCACCAAGGCGACGGUCCGUAGCUGGUCUGAGAGGAUGAUCAGCCACACUGGAACUGAGACACGGUCCAGACUCCUACGGGAGGCAGCAGUGGGGAAUAUUGGACAAUGGGCGCAAGCCUGAUCCAGCCAUACCGCGUGGGUGAAGAAGGCCUUCGGGUUGUAAAGCCCUUUUGUUGGGAAAGAAAAGCAGCAGGUUAAUACCCCGCUGUUCUGACGGUACCCAAAGAAUAAGCACCGGCUAACUUCGUG
Molecule: ribosomal RNA, 492 nt
Filed under: uncultured bacterium
Lineage: Bacteria
Description: partial 16S ribosomal RNA
Rfam family: Bacterial small subunit ribosomal RNA
Source: RNAcentral